Molecule: ribosomal RNA, 425 nt
Filed under: uncultured Gammaproteobacteria bacterium
Lineage: Bacteria; Pseudomonadati; Pseudomonadota; Gammaproteobacteria
Description: bacterial SSU rRNA
Rfam family: Bacterial small subunit ribosomal RNA
Source: RNAcentral
AGAGUUUGAUCCUGGCUCAGAUUGAACGCUGGCGGUAUGCUUAACACAUGCAAGUCGAACGGAAACGAUGGUAGCUUGCUACCAGGCGUCGAGUGGCGGACGGGUGUGUAACGCGUAGGAAUCUGCCUGAUAGUGGGGGAUAGCCCAGAGAAAUCUGGAUUAAUACCACAUAAUCUCUAUGGAGUAAAGGAGCCCUCUUCUUGAAAGGUUUCGCUAUCAGAUGAGCCUGCGUAAGAUUAGCUUGUUGGUGAGGUAAAAGCUCACCAAGGCGACGAUCUUUAGCUGGUCUGAGAGGAUGAUCAGCCACACUGGAACUGAGACACGGUCCAGACUCCUACGGGAGGCAGCAGUGGGGAAUAUUGGACAAUGGGCGCAAGCCUGAUCCAGCAAUACCGCGUGUGUGAAGAAGGCCUGAGGGUUGUAAA